RNAcentral lists this transfer RNA (75 nucleotides) under Infirmifilum uzonense. RNAcentral describes it as "Thermofilum uzonense tRNA-Ala". It matches the Rfam family "tRNA". From Rfam's summary of the family: Transfer RNA (tRNA) molecules are approximately 80 nucleotides in length. Their secondary structure includes four short double-helical elements and three loops (D, anti-codon, and T loops). The record is from RNAcentral. Lineage: Archaea; Thermoproteati; Thermoproteota; Thermoprotei; Thermofilales; Thermofilaceae.
GGGCCCGUAGUCUAGCGGUAGGAUGUCGCCCUUGCGCGGCGGAGGUCCCGGGUUCAAAUCCCGGCGGGCCCACCA